Molecule: ribosomal RNA, 372 nt
Filed under: uncultured organism
Description: bacterial SSU rRNA
Rfam family: Bacterial small subunit ribosomal RNA
Source: RNAcentral
GUAGGGUGCGAGCGUUGUCCGGAAUUAUUGGGCGUAAAGGGCUCGUAGGCGGUCUGUUGCGUCAGGAGUGAAAACUCGGGGCUUAACCCCGAGCCUGCUUCUGAUACGGGCAGACUAGAGGUAUGCAGGGGAGAACGGAAUUCCUGGUGUAGCGGUGAAAUGCGCAGAUAUCAGGAGGAACACCGGUGGCGAAGGCGGUUCUCUGGGCAUUACCUGACGCUGAGGAGCGAAAGUGUGGGGAGCGAACAGGAUUAGAUACCCUGGUAGUCCACACCGUAAACGUUGGGCGCUAGGUGUGGGACUCAUUCCACGAGUUCCGUGCCGCAGCUAACGCAUUAAGCGCCCCGCCUGGGGAGUACGGCCGCAAGGCUA